RNAcentral lists this ribosomal RNA (523 nucleotides) under uncultured bacterium. RNAcentral's name for it is "partial 16S ribosomal RNA". It matches the Rfam family "Bacterial small subunit ribosomal RNA", at positions 28 to 523 of the family's 1533-position model. The record is from RNAcentral.
GACGAACGCUGGCGGCGUGCCUAAUACAUGCAAGCCGAACGAAGCUGUUUUAACUGGUGCUUGCACCGACUUAAACAACUGAGUGGCGAACGGGUGAGUAACACGUGGGUAACCUGCCCCAAAGCGGGGGAUAACAUUUGGAAACAGAUGCUAAUACCGCAUAACCACAGAAACCACAUGGUUUCUGUGUCAAAGAUGGUUUGGCUAUCACUUUGGGAUGGACCCGCGGCGUAUUAGCUAGUUGGUAAGGUAAUGGCUUACCAAGGCAAUGAUACGUAGCCGAACUGAGAGGUUGAUCGGCCACAUUGGGACUGAGACACGGCCCAAACUCCUACGGGAGGCAGCAGUAGGGAAUCUUCCACAAUGGACGAAAGUCUGAUGGAGCAACGCCGCGCGAGUGAAGAAGGUUUUCGGAUCGUAAAACUCUGUUGUCAGAGAAGAACGUGUGCGAGAGUAACUGUUCGUGCAGUGACGGUAUCUGGCCAGAAAGCCACGGCUAACUACGUGCCAGCCGCCGCCGUAA